ACUAACAAGGAUUCCCCUAGUAACUGCGAGUGAACCGGGAAAAGCUCAAAUUUUGAAUCUGGCGGUCCUCGCGGCCGUCCGAGUUGUAAUCUAGAGAAGCGUCUUCCGCGCUGGACCGUGUAUAAGUUUCCUGGAAAGGAACGUCGUAGAGGGUGACAAUCCCGUCUUUGACACGGACUNCCAGGGCUUUGUGAUGCGCUCUCGACGAGUCGAGUUGUUUGGGAAUGCAGCUCAAAUAGGGUGGUAAAUUCCAUCUAAAGCUAAAUACAGGCGAGAGACCGAUAGCGAACAAGUACCGUGAGGGAAAGAUGAAAAGAACUUUGGAAAGAGAGUUAAACAGUACGUGAAAUUGCUGAAAGGGAAACGCUUGAUGUCAGUCGCGUCGACCGGGGAUCAGUCUCGCUUAAUCGCUGGACGUACUUCCUGGCUUGACGGGUCAGCAUCGGUUUUGAUCGUCGGAAAAUGGCUCGAGGAACGUGGCACCUCUCGGGGUGUGUUAUAGACUCGGGUCGAAUACGACGUUUGGGACCGAGGGACUCAGCACGACCUUCGGGUUCGGGGCUUCGGCUCACGUUAACGUGCUUAGGAUGCUGGCAUAAUGGCCUUAAGCGACCCG
This 616-nucleotide ribosomal RNA is filed under the name Suillus tomentosus. RNAcentral describes it as "eukaryotic LSU rRNA". It matches the Rfam family "Eukaryotic large subunit ribosomal RNA", at positions 64 to 651 of the family's 3401-position model. Lineage: Eukaryota; Fungi; Basidiomycota; Agaricomycetes; Boletales; Suillaceae. The record is from RNAcentral.